This 327-nucleotide long non-coding RNA is filed under the name Monodelphis domestica (gray short-tailed opossum). Its description in RNAcentral is "lncRNA (ENSMODG00000039029.1)". The record is from RNAcentral. Lineage: Eukaryota; Metazoa; Chordata; Mammalia; Didelphimorphia; Didelphidae.
GAUUUGCUGGAGAAGAAAAUGACAAACUUUCUGGAGAGUUAUGGUGCUGGGGGUCACAGAGAGAUGGACACAACUGACCAACAACACCCUACAAUGGAAUAUAACUCUGAUGGAAAAUGACAUGUGGCAAAUACAUAGGAGAAAGGAGAACCUACUGCUAGACCCAUAUUCUAAGAAGAUAAAAGAUAGAAAUAAGGGCAGCUAUCAGACACAGACACCAAAAUAUUUAAAGCAACACUUCAUGGUAGGAAAAAAACUGGAAUCUAAAGUUCAUUGAUUAGAACAUGGCUAAAUAAAUUUACAUGAAUGUGAUAGAAUAUAUUGAUG